Molecule: ribosomal RNA, 546 nt
Filed under: Leuconostoc sp. RSJ2
Lineage: Bacteria; Bacillati; Bacillota; Bacilli; Lactobacillales; Lactobacillaceae
Description: bacterial SSU rRNA
Rfam family: Bacterial small subunit ribosomal RNA
Source: RNAcentral
GAAUUUGAUCUGGCUAGAGACGCUGGCGGCGUGCCUAAUACAUGCAAGUCGAACGCACAGCGAAAGGUGCUUGCACCUUUCAAGUGAGUGGCGAACGGGUGAGUAACACGUGGACAACCUGCCUCAAGGCUGGGGAUAACAUUUGGAAACAGAUGCUAAUACCGAAUGAAACUUAUUGUCGCAUGAUACGAAGUUAAAAGGCGCUUUGGCGUCACCUAGAGAUGGAUCCGCGGUGCAUUAGUUAGUUGGUGGGGUAAAGGCCUACCAAGACAAUGAUGCAUAGCCGAGUUGAGAGACUGAUCGGCCACAUUGGGACUGAGACACGGCCCAAACUCCUACGGGAGGCUGCAGUAGGGAAUCUUCCACAAUGGGCGAAAGCCUGAUGGAGCAACGCCGCGUGUGUGAUGAAGGCUUUCGGGUCGUAAAGCACUGUUGUAUGGGAAGAACAGCUAGAAUAGGGAAUGAUUUUAGUUUGACGGUACCAUACCAGAAAGGGACGGCUAAAUACGUGCCAGCCGCCGCGGUAAUUCGUCGUGACUGGGAAAA